UAUAAUUGUUAUGGGUGAAGCAAAUGAAUCAGAUAUAGCAAAAUCCACGCAUCAUGUUUGUUUUGCACACAUGAUACAAAUUCUCAAAAGACAUCAGAAAGAAAUGUGCGAAAAGAAUAUAGCGUAGUCCAUAUAGCAAUGCGUUUCUUGGGCGUCUAAUAGCGUCUAUAUAGGGGACGUCUAACAAAAUAAAUUUUUACUUCUGCGCAUAUCUUAACAUAUCUGGUUAUAGGUGGGCCGGAAACUGGUUAGGUGGGAAUCUGGUUAGCUUGAACGUCUCAGGACUGGACUGAUUUUUUUUUUUUUUCUCUCUGCAUGGAGUUUUGCACCUCAAAGUUUUGAUUCUGUGGUUUUGAUUCUCGGAAAUUGAAUAUUAUUUAUAUACUGUAUAUACCUCCGCCGAUAAUUUCAAUUUAUAAGUGGAGUGAAAUCUCUCGAAAGAGCAUGCAACUGCCAACUUUAUACUCAUUUACUUAUUUGGCAGUUAGUGACGUCGCUUGUAUAGAUACAACCAUGCAUAAAGUAAGGGGCCAACCAUUUAACUUUUGAGGGAGGGGGUGGGUGAUUUACUGCUGGCAGGGAAUUUUUUUCUGGGAUCGUUAUGUGCAAGGUUGUUUUUUUUAUCCCAUCACAAUGUACGAUUUUUUUUUGCGAUAUUUUUCAAUAGCUUAUACUAUUUAGA
Paramuricea clavata is the source of this 682-nucleotide non-coding RNA. Lineage: Eukaryota; Metazoa; Cnidaria; Anthozoa; Malacalcyonacea; Plexauridae. The record is from the annotation of a GenBank genome assembly.